RNAcentral lists this transfer RNA (77 nucleotides) under Oscillospiraceae bacterium. RNAcentral's name for it is "tRNA-His". It matches the Rfam family "tRNA". From Rfam's summary of the family: Transfer RNA (tRNA) molecules are approximately 80 nucleotides in length. Their secondary structure includes four short double-helical elements and three loops (D, anti-codon, and T loops). The record is from RNAcentral. Lineage: Bacteria; Bacillati; Bacillota; Clostridia; Eubacteriales; Oscillospiraceae.
GUGGGUAUAGCUCAGUUGGUUAGAGUACCGGAUUGUGGUUCCGGGGGUCGUGGGUUCGAGCCCCAUUACCCACCCCA